AUGCCCUACAUACCAGCUGACGUCACAAACCUAAAGGCAAAGUACCGUAGAGAGAGCAAGUUGGCUGACAUAGAGGCCACAAUGGCCAACUUCGAUGAGAAAGCGAAGGAAGAUCCAGAUUUCUUCUACAGGAUAAGGUUGGAUGAUGAGGACCGUGUCAGGAACAUAUAUUGGGUGGAUGGUGCUGCAAGAAGAGCCUACAAACAUUUCCGAGAUUGCAUUUAAUUUGACGCGACAUAUCUCACUAAUAUGUACAAGAUGCCAUGCGCUCCAUUCAUAGGAAUAAAUAACCACAAUCAGUCGUUGCAGUUCGGACGCGGGCUCUUUCGGAACAAAGACACGGAUGGGUACAUUUGGCUGUUCAAGACCUUCUUGGAGUGCAUGGAUGGACUUGCUCCGAUGAACAUAAUAACAGACCAGGAUUUUAGCAUGCGUGCAGGCAUAGAGGAGGUAUUCCCGUUGGCAGUGCACAGGCACUGCAGGUGGCACAUUAUAAAGAAGGCUGAGGAGACGCUAGGACCAUUCUUUGCUGAUCGUCCAGAUCUGCACAAGGCAUUCAAGCUGUGCAUGGACCACAACUUGACGGUCGAGGAGUUUGAAAGGAGCUGGAUGGCCAUGAUUGAAACAUAUCAAGUCCAAGACAACGAGAGUCUUGCUAACCUGUGGGAGAAGCGAAUGUACUGGGUGCCGGCCUACUUCAUGCAGUGCUUCUUCCCGUUUCUGCAGAAUACGCGGCGCAACGAGGGGUUCAAUGCUAUUUUGAAGCGGUACGUGAACCCUGGCAACUCAUUGCUACAGUUUGGCAAGCAGUACAUAGCUUUGCAACAAAAAAUACUGGGAUCUAAGCUACAACAAGAAGCGAACACCGCGCUAAAGCAGCCAAAAUUGCUAACGUAUUUAUCGAUGGAGAGGCAACUGAGCAAGAUAUACACCAACAAGAUCUUUAACAAGUAA
This 954-nucleotide ribosomal RNA is filed under the name Triticum aestivum (bread wheat). RNAcentral describes it as "partial small subunit ribosomal RNA". The record is from RNAcentral. Lineage: Eukaryota; Viridiplantae; Streptophyta; Magnoliopsida; Poales; Poaceae.